This 332-nucleotide long non-coding RNA is filed under the name Setaria viridis. Its description in RNAcentral is "long non-coding RNA (SVIR_LNC009674)". The record is from RNAcentral. Lineage: Eukaryota; Viridiplantae; Streptophyta; Magnoliopsida; Poales; Poaceae.
AAAAAUAGAGUAAAUGUAUUUAUAAUAUUUAGUCAUUGCAAUAAACAUCAGAUAAAUAAAUUAUGUCAUGAGAAAUGGACAUAGGUCUUCAUAUUAGAUAAAGAACUUGAUCAAUAUUGAUAAUUUAUACCAAUCAACCUUCAUAAAGAUAAAAAACAAUUCACAUGAAAAUUACACCAAUCAACAUUCGUAACAUUCGGUCGACAAAAAGAAAAAUGCUAGAAUUCUGGAACAAGAUAAUAAAGGUACAUAUAUUACAGACGCUCCAUAGUAGACACAUAGUCAAUUAUCCUAAAAUAAUGGUACAAAAUAGCAGAAUGUUUAUCCUCCAA